Cataglyphis hispanica is the source of this 568-nucleotide long non-coding RNA. RefSeq lists it as uncharacterized. The transcript is spliced from 3 exons. The record is from RefSeq and is a predicted model, not a curated record. NCBI's taxonomy places the organism in Eukaryota, Metazoa, Arthropoda, Insecta, Hymenoptera, Formicidae.
GCUCAAGAUAAGUGAAAAAAAAAAAAAGAUUUUUUAAUCAUUUUAAUGCGAUAUUGACUAGGUGUGAGUUUAUUGUAGAUAUAUUUUUAUUUUCUGAUAACUUCAAAUCCGUCAAUAGCAGACAAGAGAAUAAUAAGGAUCUGUAGAAAAUUUCGAUCGGCACGAACUCGCACAACCUCGCUCCACGUUUAAUUACUAUUAAUCAUUAUAUUCAUGCUCCGUCGCGACAUUGUUUAUUGCGUGUAAAGAAUACGAGUAAGUUAUGAAGUAAACCAGAGAUGGUUAAUCGCAUAUUGUUAUUGCGCAACUGCUGUUCGUGAGCGCAGAGGACAAAGAUGAUGAUCCCGAUAAUCCCAACAUGAAGGCAUAAAGAGAGGCGGCAUGCAAAUAACGCUAGGUGUUACGGGGGCAGGUAACGGAAAGUUGUUGCAACAGCGGACAUACUUCAACUAAGGGAGUUCCCAGAAUUUCUUGACACACUUGGUUCAUGUCUGGCUCCAUCAUGAGUGAAGAGAUCUGAUCCUCCGUUAACAUCUCCACACUAAUAAAAAAUGUAUUAAUAAAAAAG